This 460-nucleotide ribosomal RNA is filed under the name uncultured bacterium. Its description in RNAcentral is "partial 16S ribosomal RNA". It matches the Rfam family "Bacterial small subunit ribosomal RNA", at positions 338 to 795 of the family's 1533-position model. The record is from RNAcentral.
CCUACGGGUGGCAGCAGUGAGGAAUAUUGGUCAAUGGACGAGAGUCUGAACCAGCCAAGUAGCGUGAAGGAUGACUGCCCUAUGGGUUGUAAACUUCUUUUAUAUGGGAAUAAAACGUUCCACGUGUGGGAUUUUGUAUGUACCAUAUGAAUAAGGAUCGGCUAACUCCGUGCCAGCAGCCGCGGUAAUACGGAGGGUCCGAGCGUUAUCCGGAUUUAUUGGGUUUAAAGGGAGCGUAGGUGGAUUGUUAAGUCAGUUGUGAAAGUUUGCGGCUCAACCGUAAAAUUGCAGUUGAAACUGGCAGUCUUGAGUACAGUAGAGGUGAGCGGAAUUCGUGGUGUAGCGGUGAAAUGCUUAGAUAUCACGAAGAACUCCGAUUGCGAAGGCAGUUCACUGGACUGCAACUGACACUGAGGCUCGAAAGUGUGGGUAUCAAACAGGAUUAGAUACCCCAGUAGUC